This 277-nucleotide ribosomal RNA is filed under the name Dolosigranulum pigrum. RNAcentral's name for it is "partial 16S ribosomal RNA". It matches the Rfam family "Bacterial small subunit ribosomal RNA", at positions 143 to 414 of the family's 1533-position model. The record is from RNAcentral. Lineage: Bacteria; Bacillati; Bacillota; Bacilli; Lactobacillales; Carnobacteriaceae.
ACAACAUUCGGAAACGGAUGCUAAUACCCCAUAGGUGGAUUGGUCGCAUGACGAAUUCAUUAAAGGUGGCUUUGCUACCACUCAUGGAUAGCCUCGCGGCGUAUUAGCUAGUUGGUAAGGUAAUGGCUUACCAAGGCAUUGAUACGUAGCCGACUUGAGAGGGUGAUCGGCCACACUGGGACUGAGACACGGCCCAGACUCCUACGGGAGGCAGCAGUAGGGAAUCUUCCACAAUGGGUGCAAACCUGAUGGAGCAAUGCCGCGUGAGUGAAGAAGG